This is a transfer RNA of Daphnia magna, 87 nucleotides long. It matches the Rfam family "tRNA". From Rfam's summary of the family: Transfer RNA (tRNA) molecules are approximately 80 nucleotides in length. Their secondary structure includes four short double-helical elements and three loops (D, anti-codon, and T loops). The record is from Rfam. Lineage: Eukaryota; Metazoa; Arthropoda; Branchiopoda; Diplostraca; Daphniidae.
CCUUAGAUAGCUCAGUAGGUAGAGCGGUGGACUGUAGCAUUGUACAAAGAUAACCAUAGGUCACUGGUUCAACUCCGGUUCGAAGAA